Molecule: long non-coding RNA, 967 nt
Organism: Linepithema humile (Argentine ant)
Lineage: Eukaryota; Metazoa; Arthropoda; Insecta; Hymenoptera; Formicidae
Source: RefSeq, a predicted model, not a curated record
GUCACCUGCUCCCUUUUUUUUUUAAAGACCAAACUUUACUUCUCAAGCCUCUUUUUCCAUCCUCUGUCGUACUAACUUCCACUUUUUUUAGCGUGCCGACACUUACGAACAGUUGGAUAUAUUGACACGGAUGACUAAAAAAGGAACGAAGAGUGGCGGAUUCUAAUAAGGGCUGACAAAAAUGGGGAUAUGCGAGAAAACUUGCAAAAAUCCAAAAUCGUGGAUGUGUACUUUCAAGAUAAAUUAAAUAAAUAAGAUCGUUUGUGCAAAAUUAAAGCGGAAUUUUCUCCUGCAACAUGGAUUUACAAUUUGCGACGUACUGAGAUAUGAUUUGUGGAUAGAAAAACUGACGUGGAGGUUAUAUCUUCUUAGUUUGAUGAGAAAAAAUCGGGAGAAAAACACUAGUCCAUGCCAAAAGGAUUUAGAAGUCUCAAAAAAACCGAACAGAGAGUAGAGAGGAAGUUCCGUUAAUAACGAAAGGAUCUACAUUUACUUCUACACGAUGAAUUUACGAUUAUUUCGCAAUAGUCUCCGUUGAGCCUUGUCUCCGUUUUCCUUUUUUUUUCAUUGAAUUCUUUUACACCGAAAAGAGACCGUAGAAGAUGUAUGGAAUAAAGGGUGGUAGAAAUAUUCAUAAGGCAUACGCAACAAGAGAAGAAUUCAGUCGUAAGUUUCACACCGAAUCAGGUCUUUGACAGUGGACGCUUUCCAUCACUCGCCUUGUGAUUUCUAUUUUUAUUCCUUUUUUUCCACAAACUUUUGAAAGAAACAUGCUGAUAUAGUAAAUCUUUAUCGGAGCCGAAAUAUUAGACGCUAGAGAGAAGCAUUUUUUGUUCUUCAGACGUUAACAAUCUAUAAGCAAUCUUUAAAAAUCAAAAUUAAUAUAUUUCGAUCGAGAUGUGCGAAGACGUUUGUCAGAAAUAUAAGUAUAUAUAGAUGUAAAAAAGACAUGUUUGUCAAAAAUAGU